CUGCGAGUGAUAAGUUCCGUAGUCGAUUGGGAAACAGCCCUGUCCACCAGUUUAGGUCCCCAAAUAUAUGUUAUGUGGAAAUGGAUGUGGGGUUGCUUAGUCAACCUGGAUGUUGGCUUAGAAGCAGCCACCUUUGAAUGAGUGCGUUAUAGCUCUCUGGUCGAGUGACCCCGCGCCGUAAAUGUACCGGGGCUAAAAAUAUUACCGAAACUGUGGAUGAACCUCUUUAGAGG
RNAcentral lists this ribosomal RNA (233 nucleotides) under Listeria monocytogenes. Its description in RNAcentral is "partial 23S ribosomal RNA". It matches the Rfam family "Bacterial large subunit ribosomal RNA", at positions 989 to 1221 of the family's 2925-position model. Lineage: Bacteria; Bacillati; Bacillota; Bacilli; Caryophanales; Listeriaceae. The record is from RNAcentral.